UCCUUUGACGUUAGCGGCGGACGGGUGAGUAACACGUGGGUAACCUACCUAUAAGACUGGGAUAACUUCGGGAAACCGGAGCUAAUACCGGAUAAUAUUUCGAACCGCAUGGUUCGAUAGUGAAAGGUGGUUUUGCUAUCACUUAUAGAUGGACCCGCGCCGUAUUAGCUAGUUGGUAAGGUAACGGCUUACCAAGGCGACGAUACGUAGCCGACCUGAGAGGGUGAUCGGCCACACUGGAACUGAGACACGGUCCAGACUCCUACGGGAGGCAGCAGCG
RNAcentral lists this ribosomal RNA (280 nucleotides) under uncultured Staphylococcus sp. RNAcentral's name for it is "partial 16S ribosomal RNA". It matches the Rfam family "Bacterial small subunit ribosomal RNA", at positions 82 to 356 of the family's 1533-position model. The record is from RNAcentral. Lineage: Bacteria; Bacillati; Bacillota; Bacilli; Caryophanales; Staphylococcaceae.